RNAcentral lists this ribosomal RNA (278 nucleotides) under unidentified marine eubacterium p712-19. Its description in RNAcentral is "partial 16S ribosomal RNA". It matches the Rfam family "Bacterial small subunit ribosomal RNA", at positions 1101 to 1382 of the family's 1533-position model. The record is from RNAcentral.
ACCCUCACUUUUAGUUGCCAUCAUUUAGUUGGGCACUCUGAAAGAACUGCCAGUGAUAAGCUGGAGGAAGGUGGGGAUGACGUCAAGUCCUCAUGGCCCUUACGUGUUGGGCUACACACGUGCUACAAUGGUACUUACAAUGGGAAGCGAAGAGCGACUCUAGGCAAAUCCCAAAAAGGUACCUCAGUUCGGAUUGCACUCUGCAACUCGAGUGCAUGAAGCUGGAAUUGCUAGUAAUCGCGGAUCAGGCCGCCGCGGUGAAUACGUUCCCGGGUCUU